RNAcentral lists this long non-coding RNA (786 nucleotides) under Medicago truncatula (barrel medic). RNAcentral describes it as "long non-coding RNA (MTRU_LNC002023)". The record is from RNAcentral. Lineage: Eukaryota; Viridiplantae; Streptophyta; Magnoliopsida; Fabales; Fabaceae.
UAGUAUCAUAAUGUUCGCAUGCUCAGUAUUUUGUUGACGUAAUAUAUAUGAUGAUGACUUACUUAAUUUGAUGAAUUUCAAAAGAAAUUUAAGUUGUAUAGGGUUGCUGUUAACUGCAAACAGAAGAAUACUUGAAGUACAUGUAUUAUAAGGUGUAUACUAUACUACAAUGGUUUAUCAUUUCUCAUAUUAAAAAGUCAAGCUAGUUGGCCCGUUGGCAAGCAAAAUAUUUGUCGCAACGCAUGAAAGAUGCCAAUUACGUUAAGCAACAUGCCGAUUCAAUUCAACAAGAGAAAUACAAUAGGGCUGCUACUAAAUAAAGUGUGUAGGACACAAAUAACACCGAGGGACAUCACUCUACACUAUAACAACCCCAUUAAACGUGUUUAAAUACAGUUAUACAUGGUUGCAAAAGUUGUUGGGUUAAAGUAUGAGUUAAUAGUAUAACUUUAUUAUGAAUGAGUUUAAUGAUAAAUAAGAUAGAUACAGAUAUUCUUAAUAUUCUGUCCUUGUGAGUUUAACUCAAUUGAUAAAGAUAAUGUAUGAUAUAUGUAAGGUUUGAAUUUCGAACUCCAGACACCACAAAAAAAAAAAUGCUUUAAUAUUCUGGACCGAGAUAUUAUUUUCAAUCUCGAUGGUCUUAAAUCAUUGAUCUGGUUCCUUAAAAUAAAAUGAAUCUUAGUGUGGCGUUGCUUCCUUUGUUAUUUCAAUUUAUUUUUACGUUCAUGUACUUUUUAUUUUUUAUUUUUAUGCAUUUGACAUAUUUCAGUCAAAGCUUGUUUGCUU